RNAcentral lists this ribosomal RNA (450 nucleotides) under uncultured bacterium. RNAcentral's name for it is "bacterial SSU rRNA". It matches the Rfam family "Bacterial small subunit ribosomal RNA", at positions 29 to 523 of the family's 1533-position model. The record is from RNAcentral.
AACGAACGCUGGCGGCAGGCUUAACACAUGCAAGUCGAACGCUCGUAGCAAUACGGGAGUGGCGGACGGGUGAGUAACGCGUGGGAACGUGCCCUGAGGUACGGAAUAACUGAGGGAAACUUCAGCUAAUACCGUAUGAGCCCCGAGAGGGGGAAAGAUUUAUCGCCUUGGGAGCGGCCCGCGUCGGAUUAGCUAGUUGGUGGGGUAACGGCCUACCAAGGCUUCGAUCCGUAGCCGGUCUGAGAGGACGAUCAGCCACACUGGGACUGAGACACGGCCCAGACUCCUACGGAGGCAGCAGUGGGGAAUCUUGCGCAAUGGGGGCAACCCUGACGCAGCCAUGCCGCGUGAACGAUGAAGGCCUUAGGGUUGUAAAGUUCUUUUACCCGUGACGAUGAUGACGGUAACGGGGAUAAGCUCCGGCUAACUUCGUGCCAGCAGCCGCGGUAA